GGUUAUGCCCCUCCCCAGAAGCACGAGUGGCUUUUGAAUUGGGAUUGAGCGAGGCGCGUGGGACUGCCUGGCGAGCGCACUAGUUCCCUCAGCGCAAGGUUCGGUCUACGCAGCGGUUGUCUAGGGGAAUUUUACUCGAUGCGGGGGAAAUCUCGGGGCAGGCUGCGUUGCUAGGGACGAUAACCAAUUAAAUGCUAUUUGAGUAUUCGGCGUAUCACAUUCACUUGGCUGUACGAAGUUGUGUGGUUAUGAUCCUCUGUGUACUUAUAAUAGUAAUGUAAAAUAGUAUCAACAUUUCAUAAUCGUAGAAAGGCCGAAAACUGGUAACCCACAUUUUCUUCUGCUUAAACUAUUUUAUAUUACUUUAACGAUCGUUGAUUCUUUUAAUUUCUGAUCACGGUAUUAUAUUUGAGAUUUUCAUUUUAAAAAAUAUAACAAAAUGAAAACGAAACGAAAAGCAGAGAUCUGUGUCAAAAAUAAAGAGAAUGUGAGAGCGACAACGGAAUGGGUCGUGCCUAGGGAAAUUUUCCGUGCGCGGGGGAACUUGUUAAAUGGCGUUGUGUUGUUGGCCGAGUCACUUCGUGCUCUCCAAUCCGUCUUCAAUGACACAAUGAGCAAAGGCAUAAGGAACUUGGUGUCGAAACGAAAGAGAAGAUUCAAAGAAGAUGGGUACGACUUGGAUCUUAGCUAUAUCACAGAUCGACUUAUUGCAAUGGGCUUCCCUGCUCAGAAGUUGGAGGGUGUGUACAGAAACCAUAUUGACGAUGUUUCCCGCUUCCUAGAAGAGAGGCACAAGGACCACUAUAGAAUAUAUAAUUUGUGCUCAGAAAGAAAUAGAUCGUAUGAUGUCACAAGAUUUCACAAUCGGGUUAGAAAUUUCCCUUUUGCUGACCAUAACCCACCGCCUCUGAUUGACAUUGAGCCGUUAUGUAAAGACAUGGCGGACUGGUUGGCUGCAGACUCAAGGAAUGUGGCUGUUGUACAUUGUAAGGCAGGAAAGGGUCGAACAGGUGUCAUGAUUUGCUGCUAUCUCCUUCACUGCCGUUCCAAGAGCUUAGCACAAGAAGCACUUGAUUUUUAUGGAGAUAAGAGAACUUUUGAUAGAAAGGGUGUUACUAUACCUAGCCAAAGAAGAUAUGUGGACUACUAUGCCAAACUAGUCAACUCAAACUUUAAUUAUAAUCCACCUUACGUACGCCUUAGGGAAGCUGUAAUGAAUGCACCGCUAUCCAGUGUAAAUUCGGAGGUGUUCCUUGUUGUGAGCUCUCACAGUAACAAAAAGGGCUAUAACUCUCAGCCUGCAGAAGUGAAGAAAGGAAAGGAAAUGAUUCAACUUGUAGUAAGAGAUGAAGUGGCCCGACCCAUCCAAGGAGACAUCAAGAUUGAGCUCAAGAGAACAAACUUUGUCAGAAGAACGGACAAGCUGUUCAGUGCUUGGCUAAAUACGCACUUUAUAUUUGAAGAAGGAAAGAAAGUAACCAAUGGGUGUCAGAUAACAGCAUCAGACCAAAACAACCACAACAACACUUGCAACACACAAAAUAGACACAGAAGCAAUAGUUUUCGCGUGGCGAAGCAUGACAACUAUAGGCGCAAGAGACGUGAGUCUGGUGAUGUGAGGGCGCUCCCUGGAGGCCUCGGUUGUGGUGGUGGGGGCAGACAAGACUCAUGUGAGAAUGAGAGGCACAUUCGAGGGGAGGUUGAGAGCAAGAGCCUUCCCACAGGCCAUCUUACCCAUCUUACUGAUGAGGAGUGGACCCCUAUUGGCAAUCUCAGUCCCCCUCCACAUCCCCGCCAGCAAAGUCGCCACCGCCGUCGCCACCACACCCAGCACCUCCCUGUAUGUGGUGGAGCUCGAGACUCUUGGGAGGACUCUAAAAAAGGAGAGCAGGAGGUACUGGUAGUCCUCACCAAAAAUGAGCUAGACAAGGCCAACAAAGAUACACAUCACAAAUUGUUACCAGAAGACUUUAGGAUAAAACUAUGGUGGCUGGUUACAUAUGUUAACAAAGGAGGAAGCAAUGCCUUAGAGUCUCGGGAAAGUGGUUCGACUCCAAGCACAAUCACGCCCUCUGGUUCCUCGUCUGACACCGAUGACGACGAUGAUGAUGACGAAGAAGAGGGAAGUGACUGGGACUCAGAUGGCCACUGCCCAGAGCGCUACGUGGGUCGUUAUCGGCUCAUGUCGGAUUGUUCGGCUGCUCACCCGAAUCAUUACACGAUGCCGGAGGGCCCCACAUGACCCUAGCCCCCCCCCACUUCCACACAUCCUGCUUCCCUAUGACACAAACAUGAACUACAACCCCGGAAGGAUCGGAGGUGCUGCUGUGACCUCACUCACCUCUCCAAGGGCCUGCUGGUGGAGUGGUAGUUCCCCCUCUCAUCCCCUCACCUCACUUCUGGCUCCUCAGCUCUGGUCCUCUCACAACUCAUCUCCGCAUCAAUUGUACAUUCUUCAAACUGAAGACAUUUUAACAUUAAAUUUUUUAUUUUUC
RNAcentral lists this unclassified non-coding RNA (2495 nucleotides) under Penaeus chinensis. Its description in RNAcentral is "phosphatidylinositol 3,4,5-trisphosphate 3- phosphatase and dual-specificity protein phosphatase PTEN- like, transcript variant X1". Lineage: Eukaryota; Metazoa; Arthropoda; Malacostraca; Decapoda; Penaeidae. The record is from RNAcentral.